Molecule: ribosomal RNA, 468 nt
Filed under: uncultured bacterium
Lineage: Bacteria
Description: partial 16S ribosomal RNA
Rfam family: Bacterial small subunit ribosomal RNA
Source: RNAcentral
GACGAACGCUGGCGGCGUGCUUAACACAUGCAAGUCGAACGGAAAGGCCCUGCUCUUGUGGGGUGCUCGAGUGGCGAACGGGUGAGUAACACGUGAGUAACCUGCCCUUGACUUUGGGAUAACUUCAGGAAACUGGGGCUAAUACCGGAUAGGAGCUCCUGCUGCAUGGUGGGGGUUGGAAAGUUUCGGCGGUUGGGGAUGGACUCGCGGCUUAUCAGCUUGUUGGUGGGGUAGUGGCUUACCAAGGCUUUGACGGGUAGCCGGCCUGAGAGGGUGACCGGCCACAUUGGGACUGAGAUACGGCCCAGACUCCUACGGGAGGCAGCAGUGGGGAAUAUUGCACAAUGGGCGGAAGCCUGAUGCAGCAACGCCGCGUGCGGGAUGACGGCCUUCGGGUUGUAAACCGCUUUCGCCUGUGACGAAGCGUGGGUGACGGUAAUGGGUAAAGAAGCACCGGCUAACUACGUG